RNAcentral lists this unclassified non-coding RNA (237 nucleotides) under Glomus sp. Its description in RNAcentral is "partial contains 5.8S ribosomal RNA and internal transcribed spacer 2". The stretch from base 1 to 65 matches the Rfam family "5.8S ribosomal RNA", at positions 84 to 154 of the family's 154-position model. The record is from RNAcentral. Lineage: Eukaryota; Fungi; Glomeromycota; Glomeromycetes; Glomerales; Glomeraceae.
GUGAAUCAUCAAAUUUUUGAACGCAAAUUGCACUCUCUGCGGAGAGGAUGCCUGUUUGAGUUUCAGCCUAAAAAAAUCGACAUAGUCGCUGUUUCGCGGGGACAUUCGUCGGGAAUUGUGUCACCUUAAACCGGUUGGUUGUAAUCGGCUUAAAAUUUUCUUUAGGAUUCCACGAACGUUUCUAAGAUUUGCUUACACGUUUAAGGUAGCGAUCUUUGUUAUACGGGGCAGUUGCAG